This 356-nucleotide ribosomal RNA is filed under the name Rhizobium sp. SV56. RNAcentral's name for it is "bacterial SSU rRNA". It matches the Rfam family "Bacterial small subunit ribosomal RNA", at positions 993 to 1357 of the family's 1533-position model. Lineage: Bacteria; Pseudomonadati; Pseudomonadota; Alphaproteobacteria; Hyphomicrobiales; Rhizobiaceae. The record is from RNAcentral.
GUCACUUCACAGAGAUAGGGGGUCCACUUCGGUGGCGCAGAGACAGGUGCUCAUGGCUGUCGUCAGCUCGUGUCGUGAGAUGUGGGUUAAGUCCCGCAAGAGCGCAACCCUCGCCCUUAGUUGCCAGCAUUCAGUUGGGCACUCUAAGGGACUGCCGGUGAUAAGCCGAGAGGAAGGUGGGAUGACGUCAAGUCCUCAUGGCCCUUACGGGCUGGGCUACACACGUGCUCAAUGGUGGUGACAGUGGGCAGCGAGCACGCGAGUGGAGCUAAUCUCCAAAAGCCAUCUCAGUUCGGAUUGCACUCUGCAACUCGAGUGCAUGAAGUGGAAUCGCUAGUAAUCGCGGAUCAGCAUGC